RNAcentral lists this long non-coding RNA (210 nucleotides) under Lathyrus oleraceus (garden pea). Its description in RNAcentral is "Pisum sativum (pea) long non-coding RNA (PSAT_LNC006323)". Lineage: Eukaryota; Viridiplantae; Streptophyta; Magnoliopsida; Fabales; Fabaceae. The record is from RNAcentral.
ACUAGGAUCAUUGCCGAGUUAUGUUUUUCUAAACUACCUUCGAAAAACCAAACGAGAUAACCACUUUGUAUACAUUCAUGCAAGAAUCAUUACAAAGUUAAAUCUCAUUUUCAAAACAUUUUUCACACAGUUCUCAACCACCUUUUCAAACUAGAAAACAUGAAUGAUUGAGCAAUUAAGAGCCCAUGGAUAACCAUGGAUACAAAGGGU